UUAACUUAUUCACCAAUCAAAUGGUGUGCCACAUUACCCGUGCUUAACAUUAUCUAAGCAUCAUUGUUUAGAAGAUCAUUUCGUGUGUAUAUAUAAUCCUCCGUAAACGGAGUAGCGUUUGAGAUGCUUCGUUUUUUGAAAUUUAAUCAAUAUAUAAAUUUUGGCAAAUGGAUUCUUCAAAGUUAAUCAGAUGGUAGCAACCUAUGAUCCUUCAUACAUUGUCAUAUCUUAAAAUAAAAUCUUUCAGUAACAUAUCAAAAAUAAUAACCCUCAUAACACAAUUAAUUUCCUUAUACACUUAGCUUCUCCAUCUCCCUCCUAAGUGCAUUAGCCCUCACCAAACUCCCAAUUGUAUUCACAGCCAAUUUCAAGUCAUCAAGUGGAUUCCCAGGGACCACUCUCUUGUACAAAUAGCUAUCAAAUGUCAUUUUUUGCACAUAUUCAUCUGCACACAUUUCUACAAAUGCUUCCCUCGCCGGAUUCGACCUGUAAAACACCUUCUGAAGAACAUCCAAAACCUUGUAUGUAGGCCAAUAU
Molecule: long non-coding RNA, 537 nt
Filed under: Olea europaea subsp. europaea
Lineage: Eukaryota; Viridiplantae; Streptophyta; Magnoliopsida; Lamiales; Oleaceae
Source: RNAcentral